This 744-nucleotide long non-coding RNA is filed under the name Musa acuminata (dwarf banana). RNAcentral's name for it is "long non-coding RNA (MACU_LNC002642)". Lineage: Eukaryota; Viridiplantae; Streptophyta; Magnoliopsida; Zingiberales; Musaceae. The record is from RNAcentral.
UUGAUACGUUUCAAUAUUAGAAAAAUCGGUGUUAUUGAUAGGAGCAAUAUUCAAUCAAUCAUAACGAUGAAGGAUAAAUACUAAAGAAAUAUUCUAGUAAUAUUUCAAAAUAUUUCUUUCAAUUACGAUGCAUUACAAAAAGCCAAAAAAAGAAAAAAAAUUGGAAGAGGAAGAAACAAAGGAGAAAUCACCGUAUUAUGAUUCCUAAAAAGCCUUGAAACUAUCUCGGGUGAAAAAAGAAGAAGCUCCUGCUUGUGAAUAUGCAAUAAAACUCAAGAUAUCAUCGCAUAAUAAAUAUAAAGAAUUACGUGAUCUUCAUUAUACAAAAAUGAGUCCAACAUGAUACAAUUUUAAGUAUCAUUCCCAAUAACUUGUGAAUGUUUUUGUUCGAAAAAUUUCCAAGAAGAACAACGUCGAUCAUGAAAAAGCAUUAAAACUUUUAACAAGUAAGGCCACCGGAAAAUAUAAAAAAUUUAAUCGCCUAGAAUAGAACCCAUCUUUAAGGUCAUCCAUGAAUCCUUCGAACAGAUGAGAUCAAUCAUGGAGAAAACUGAACUGAACUUGUGAAUGCUCUACAAGAAGGAAAAAGCUUCGAGGAAAUCAGGUUGAUCUUUAAGCAAACUAGUCACCUACUACACACUAAAGACGAGCUAAAGUUUGAAUCAAGAAGACUCUUAUUUCAUUUAUUUUUGAUAGUACUCCCAACGGAUAAAGCCAUGUUGAUGGGUUUAUGAUCGAAAACGA